CACGUAGGGCGCAAGCGUUGUCCGGAAUUAUUGGGCGUAAAGAGCUCGUAGGCGGUCUGUUGCGUCUGCUGUGAAAACCCGGGGCUUAACCCCUGGCCUGCAGUGGAUACGGACAGACUAGAGGUAGGUAGGGGAGAAUGGAAUUCCCGGUGUAGCGGUGAAAUGCGCAGAUAUCGGGAGGAACACCGGUGGCGAAGGCGGUUCUCUGGGCCUUACCUGACGCUGAGGAGCGAAAGCGUGGGGAGCGAACAGG
RNAcentral lists this ribosomal RNA (253 nucleotides) under uncultured bacterium. RNAcentral describes it as "partial 16S ribosomal RNA". It matches the Rfam family "Bacterial small subunit ribosomal RNA", at positions 524 to 776 of the family's 1533-position model. The record is from RNAcentral.